RNAcentral lists this ribosomal RNA (372 nucleotides) under uncultured organism. RNAcentral's name for it is "bacterial SSU rRNA". It matches the Rfam family "Bacterial small subunit ribosomal RNA", at positions 526 to 896 of the family's 1533-position model. The record is from RNAcentral.
CAGAGGGUGCAAACGUUGUUCGGAAUUACUGGGCGUAAAGCGCGUGUAGGCGGCUGUGUAAGUCGGGCGUGAAAUCCCAUGGCUCAACCAUGGAAGUGCACCCGAAACUGCGUAGCUAGAGUCCUGGAGAGGAAGGUGGAAUGCUUGGUGUAGAGGUGAAAUUCGUAGAUAUCAAGCGGAACACCGGUGGCGAAGGCGGCCUUCUGGACAGUGACUGACGCUGAGACGCGAAAGCGUGGGGAGCAAACAGGAUUAGAUACCCUGGUAGUCCACGCCGUAAACGAUGAGUGCUAGGUGUCACGGGCUUUGACCCUCGUGGUGCCGAAGCUAACGCGUUAAGCACUCCGCCUGGGGAGUACGGCCGCAAGGCUA